GCACCCGUUCCCAUUCCGAACACGGCCGUGAAACGCCCCUGCGCCUAUGGUACUUCGUCUUAAGACGCGGGAGAGUCGGUCGCUGCCAGGU
Molecule: ribosomal RNA, 91 nt
Filed under: Rhizobium metallidurans
Lineage: Bacteria; Pseudomonadati; Pseudomonadota; Alphaproteobacteria; Hyphomicrobiales; Rhizobiaceae
Source: RNAcentral